Molecule: ribosomal RNA, 539 nt
Filed under: uncultured bacterium
Lineage: Bacteria
Description: bacterial SSU rRNA
Rfam family: Bacterial small subunit ribosomal RNA
Source: RNAcentral
AUAUCUUGCACAAUGGAGGAAACUCUGAUGCAGCGAUGCCGCGUGAGUGAAGAAGGCCUUUGGGUUGUAAAGCUCUUUCGUCGGGGAAGAAAAUGACUGUACCCGAAUAAGAAGGUCCGGCUAACUUCGUGCCAGCAGCCGCGGUAAUACGAAGGGACCUAGCGUAGUUCGGAAUUACUGGGCUUAAAGAGUUCGUAGGUGGUUGAAAAAGUUGGUGGUGAAAUCCCAGAGCUUAACUCUGGAACUGCCAUCAAAACUUUUCAGCUAGAGUAUGAUAGAGGAAAGCAGAAUUUCUAGUGUAGAGGUGAAAUUCGUAGAUAUUAGAAAGAAUACCCAUUGCGAAGGCAGCUUUCUGGAUCAUUACUGACACUGAGGAACGAAAGCAUGGGUAGCGAAGAGGAUUAGAUACCCUCGUAGUCCAUGCCGUAAACGAUGUGUGUUAGACGUUGGAAAUUUAUUUUCAGUGUCGCAGCGAAAGCGAUAAGCACACCGCCUGGGGAGUACGACCGCAAGGUUAAACUCAAAUGAAUUGCCGGACC